AACGAACGCUGGCGGCAUGCCUAACACAUGCAAGUCGAACGAGACCUUCGGGUCUAGUUGCGCACGGGUGCGUGCCGCCGGGGAACCUGCCCUUAGGUUCGGAAUAACUCCCCGAAGGAGGUGCUAAUACCAGAUAAUGUCUUCGGACCAAGGAUUUAUCGCCCUUGGAUGGGCCCGCGUUGGUUUAGCUAGUUGGUAGGGUAAAAGCCUAACAAGGCGACGAUCCAUAGCUGGUCUGAGAGGAUGAUCAGCCACACUGGGAAUGAGACACGGCCCAGACUCCUACGGGAGGCAGCAGUGGGGAAUAUUGGUCAAUGGGCGAAAGCCUGAUCCAGCAAUGCCGCGUGAGUGAUGAAGGCCUUAGGGUUGUAAAGCUCUUUUACCCGGGAUGAUAAUGAUAGUACCGGGAGAAUAAGCUCCGGCUAACUCCGUG
RNAcentral lists this ribosomal RNA (433 nucleotides) under uncultured bacterium. RNAcentral's name for it is "partial 16S ribosomal RNA". It matches the Rfam family "Bacterial small subunit ribosomal RNA", at positions 29 to 507 of the family's 1533-position model. The record is from RNAcentral.